RNAcentral lists this ribosomal RNA (249 nucleotides) under uncultured bacterium. RNAcentral describes it as "partial 16S ribosomal RNA". It matches the Rfam family "Bacterial small subunit ribosomal RNA", at positions 524 to 775 of the family's 1533-position model. The record is from RNAcentral.
UACGUAGGGACCAAGCGUUGUUCGGAUUUACUGGGCGUAAAGGGCGCGUAGGCGGCGUGACAAGUCACUUGUGAAAUCUCCGGGCUUAACUCGGAACGGCCAAGUGAUACUGUCGUGCUAGAGUGCAGAAGGGCAAUCGGAAUUCUUGGUGUAGCGGUGAAAUGCGUAGAUAUCAAGAGGAACACCUGAGGUGAAGACGGGUUGCUGGGCUGACACUGACGCUGAAGCGCGAAGCUAGGGAGCAAACGG